UACGUAGGGUGCGAGCGUUAAUCGGAAUUACUGGGCGUAAAGGGUGCGUAGGUGGUUGGAUAAGUUAUCUGUGAAAGCCCCGGGCUCAACCUGGGAAGGUCAGAUAAGACUGUUCGACUCGAGUAUAGGAGAGGGUAGUGGAAUUCCCGGUGUAGCGGUGAAAUGCGUAGAGAUCGGAAGGAACACCAGUGGCGAAGGCGGCUACCUGGCCUGAUACUGACACUGAAGCGCGAAAGCGUGGGGAGCAAACAGG
Molecule: ribosomal RNA, 253 nt
Filed under: uncultured bacterium
Lineage: Bacteria
Description: partial 16S ribosomal RNA
Rfam family: Bacterial small subunit ribosomal RNA
Source: RNAcentral